This 1936-nucleotide ribosomal RNA is filed under the name marine metagenome. Its description in RNAcentral is "bacterial LSU rRNA". It matches the Rfam family "Bacterial large subunit ribosomal RNA", at positions 3 to 1977 of the family's 2925-position model. The record is from RNAcentral.
UCAAGUGAAUAAGCGUGCACGGUGGAUGCCUAGGCAGUCAGAGGCGAUGAAGGACGUGGUAACCUGCGAAAAGCUUUGGGAAGGUGGUAAACAACCUAUGAUCCAGAGAUAUCCGAAUGGGGAAACCCACCCAGCGUAAGCUGGGUAUCUUAUACUGAAUACAUAGGUAUAAGAGGCGAACCGGGAGAACUGAAACAUCUAAGUACCCCGAGGAAAAGAAAUCAAUUGAGAUUCCCCUAGUAGCGGCGAGCGAACGGGGAUUAGCCCUUAAGUUUAUUAUGUUUUAGCGGAAGUAGCUGGAAAGUUACGCCAUAGUGGGUGAUAGCCCCGUACGCGAAAAGGCAUUUUAGGUGAAAACGAGUAGGUCGGGACACGAGAAAUCUUGACUGAACAUGGGGGGACCAUCCUCCAAGGCUAAAUACUCCUGACUGACCGAUAGUGAACCAGUACCGUGAGGGAAAGGCGAAAAGAACCCCUGUGAGGGGAGUGAAAUAGAUCCUGAAACCGUGUACGUACAAGCAGUGGGAGCCGAUUUAUUCGGUGACUGCGUACCUUUUGUAUAAUGGGUCAGCGACUUAAUUUUAGUAGCAAGCUUAACCGAAUAGGGGAGGCGUAGGGAAACCGAGUCUUAAUAGGGCGUAUAGUUGCUAGGAUUAGACCCGAAACCGGGCGAUCUACCCAUGGCCAGGUUGAAGGUUGAGUAACAUCAACUGGAGGACCGAACCCACGUAUGUUGAAAAAUGCGGGGAUGAGCUGUGGGUCGGAGUGAAAGGCUAAUCAAGCCCGGAGAUAGCUGGUUCUCCUCGAAAGCUAUUUAGGUAGCGCCUCGUGUCUCACCAUUGGGGGUAGAGCACUGUUUCGGCUAGGGGGUCAUCCCGACUUACCAACCCGAUGCAAACUCCGAAUACCAAUGAGUGCAAUCACGGGAGACACACGGCGGGUGCUAACGUCCGUCGUGGAAAGGGAAACAACCCAGACCGUCAGCUAAGGUCCCAAAGUGUAUGUUAAGUGGGAAACGAUGUGGGAAGGUUUAGACAGCUAGGAGGUUGGCUUAGAAGCAGCCAUCCUUUAAAGAAAGCGUAAUAGCUCACUAGUCGAAUCGGCCUGCGCGGAAGAUAUAACGGGGCUCAAACAUACCACCGAAGCUACGGACGCAUGCUUGCAUGCGUGGUAGAGGAGCGUUCUGUAGGCCGUUGAAGGGAAAGCUGAGAGGCAUCCUGGAGGUAUCAGAAGUGCGAAUGCUGACAUGAGUAACGAUAAGGGGAGUGAAAAGCUCCCCCGCCGGAAGACCAAGGUUUCCUAUCCAAUGCUAAUCAGGGUAGGGUGAGUCGGCCCCUAAGGCGAGGCUGAAGAGCGUAGUCGAUGGGAAGCAGGUUAAUAUUCCUGCACCACUCAAUAUUGCGAAGGAGGGACGGAGAAGGCUAGUCCAGCACGGCGUUGGUUGUCCGUGUUUAAGCGUGUAGGCUGGGAGUUUAGGUAAAUCCGGACUCCCUUAAGGCUGAGGCGUGAUGACGAGGUCCAUUAGGACUGAAGUGGUUGAUGCCAUACUUCCAGGAAAAGCUUCUAAGCAUCAGGUAUUGAGUGACCGUACCCCAAACCGACACAGGUGGUCAGGUAGAGAAUACCAAGGCGCUUGAGAGAACUCGGGUGAAGGAACUAGGCAAAAUGGUACCGUAACUUCGGGAGAAGGUACGCCGGUUUUGGUGAUGAGACUUGCUCUCUAAGCUGAGGCCGGCCGAAGUGACCAGGUGGCUGCGACUGUUUAUUAAAAACAUAGCACUCUGCAAACACGUAAGUGGACGUAUAGGGUGUGACGCCUGCCCGGUGCCGGAAGGUUAAUUGAUGGGGUUAUCUUCGGAGAAGCUCUUGAUCGAAGCCCCGGUAAACGGCGGCCGUAACUAUAACGGUCCUAAGGUAGCGAAAUUCCUUGUCGGGU